UAGGGAAUCUUCGGCAAUGGGGGCAACCCUGACCGAGCAACGCCGCGUGAGUGAAGAAGGUUUUCGGAUCGUAAAGCUCUAUUGUAAGAGAAGAACGUGUGUGAGAGUGGAAAGUUCACACAGUGACGGUAACUUACCAGAAAGGGACGGCUAACUACGUGCCAGCAGCCGCGGUAAUACGUAGGUCCCGAGCGUUGUCCGGAUUUAUUGGGCGUAAAGCGAGCGCAGGCGGUUUAAUAAGUCUGAAGUUAAAGGCAGUGGCUUAACCAUUGUUCGCUUUGGAUACUGUUAAACUUGAGUGCAGAAGGGGAGAGUGGAAUUCCAUGUGUAGCGGUGAAAUGCGUAGAUAUAUGGAGGAACACCGGUGGCGAAAGCGGCUCUCUGGUCUGUAACUGACGCUGAGGCUCGAAAGCGUGGGGAGCAAACAGG
RNAcentral lists this ribosomal RNA (429 nucleotides) under bacterium. RNAcentral's name for it is "partial 16S ribosomal RNA". It matches the Rfam family "Bacterial small subunit ribosomal RNA", at positions 355 to 776 of the family's 1533-position model. The record is from RNAcentral.